This 439-nucleotide ribosomal RNA is filed under the name uncultured bacterium. Its description in RNAcentral is "partial 16S ribosomal RNA". It matches the Rfam family "Bacterial small subunit ribosomal RNA", at positions 339 to 795 of the family's 1533-position model. The record is from RNAcentral.
CUACGGGUGGCAGCAGUGGGGAAUAUUGCACAAUGGAGGAAACUCUGAUGCAGCAACGCCGCGUGGAGGAUGACACUUUUCGGAGCGUAAACUCCUUUUAUAUAGGAAGAUAAUGACGGUACUAUAUGAAUAAGCACCGGCUAACUCCGUGCCAGCAGCCGCGGUAAUACGGAGGGUGCAAGCGUUACUCGGAAUCACUGGGCGUAAAGAGCGUGUAGGCGGAUUAAUAAGUCAGAUGUGAAAGCCAAUGGCUCAACCAUUGAACUGCAUUUGAAACUGUUAAUCUAGAAUAUGGGAGAGGUAGAUGGAAUUUCUGGUGUAGGGGUAAAAUCCGUAGAGAUCAGAAGGAAUACCGAUUGCGAAGGCGAUCUACUGGAACAUUAUUGACGCUGAGACGCGAAAGCGUGGGGAGCAAACAGGAUUAGAUACCCUCGUAGUC